AGAGUUUGAUCAUGGCUCAGAAUGAACGCUGGCGGCGCGCCUAAUACAUGCAAGUCGAGCGAGAAGACGUAGCAAUACGUUUGUAAAGCGGCGAACGGGUGAGGAAUACAUGGGUAACCUACCCUCGAGUGGGGAAUAACUAGCCGAAAGGUUCGCUAAUACUGCGUACGCUCCUUGGACUUCGGUUCAGGGAGGAAAGCGAUACCGUGGGUAUCGCGCUCUUGGAUGGGCUCAUGUCCUAUCAGCUUGUUGGUGGGGUAACGGCUCACCAAGGCUUCGACGGGUAGCUGGUCUGAGAGGACGAUCAGCCACACUGGCACUGCGACACGGGCCAGACUCCUACGGGAGGCAGCAGUAAGGAAUAUUGCGCAAUGGGCGAAAGCCUGACGCAGCGACGCCGCGUGGGGGAUGAAGGUCUUCGGAUUGUAAACCCCUUUCGGGAGGGAAGAUGGAACGAGCAAUCGUUCGGACGGUACCUCCAGAAGCAGCCACGGCUAACUUCGUGCCAGCAGCCGCGGUAAUACGAAGGUGGCAAGCGUUAUUCCGAUUUACUGGGCCUACACGGAGCGUAGGCGGUUCGGUAAGCCCUUUGUGAAAUCUCCAGGCUUAACCUGCAACCGUCGGAUGGGACUGCCUGGCUACAGGACUAGAUAGGAACACUUAUAUCGCGGUGUGUGCGGAGCAAUGCGCUUAAGUAUGAAAGCGAACUCGCUAAGCUUAGAUAGUUACUUCUUUUCUUUGUAUUUGAACGCUUGAAAAACUAUUUAGAAUGUUAAACUAUACAAAUAGAUUAAUUUUUCGCUCGUUGAAUCAA
Molecule: ribosomal RNA, 814 nt
Filed under: uncultured bacterium
Lineage: Bacteria
Description: bacterial SSU rRNA
Rfam family: Bacterial small subunit ribosomal RNA
Source: RNAcentral